Molecule: long non-coding RNA, 296 nt
Filed under: Mytilus galloprovincialis (Mediterranean mussel)
Lineage: Eukaryota; Metazoa; Mollusca; Bivalvia; Mytilida; Mytilidae
Source: RNAcentral
CUCAUCGGUGACCUAUAUUUUUUAUUAUUGUUUUCAAAUUAGCUGUACAUUAACUAAAUAAUUGUAAAAUUCAAGCGAUUUCUGUAAUUAGGUUAUUUUUUAUUUCGAUAUUACCUUUAUUUCUCCUAUUAGUUCAACAGAAAAAAGGACAUUAACAAAAAUGUAUGCUUCUUCCGGAGGCAGAUUGUGAGCUUCAAUGACCGGUGACCCCAUUUUUUUAUUUCAUUUUUCUUUUAAGUAUAUGAUAAAGUUGAUGAUAAAAUAAAUAUAGCAAAAUCCUAUAUUAGAAAAUAAAA